CACUCCUUGUAAGUCUCUAUGAGCAGCUGUCACUUCUGUUCCCUGGAACCUCUUUAAGCCUAAGAUCAGACACAGCUCUGGGCUCCUGAUCCCAGCUUGUCCUUGAAGUAUGAGGCUGGUGACUGGAGUAGCUGUGCUUCUGACCUGGGGGACUGUGAUUGAGGCUGAGAUUGACCAGCCCAAAUCCAGGGAUGUUGCUGAAGGAGAAGAAGUAACCCUGCCUUGCAACCACGCUACCUUUGGUGGAAGUGACUAUGUACACUGGUAUCGGCAAAAUCCCACUCAGAGUCCACAGUACAUCAUUCAUGGCUUACGGGACACAGUGACAAACCACAUGGCCUCUCUGACCAUAGCGACAGACAGAAAGUGCAGCACCUCGGUCCUGCCCCGAGUCCCCUGAGAGGCAGCGCUGUGUACUACUGCGCCCUGACAGAGGCACAGAGCCCCCUGGGGCUGAGGUGCAGCUAUUCCUACAGUGCAGACCCUUAUCUCUCCUGGUACAUCCGGACAAUGUCGUAUGAAGGGAAAAGGCUUUCUCCCCGCAGCAGUGCCCAGUUACAGGCGUUCCCUCGUCACUCGUCAGAGCGCAGCGGAGGCAUGAGGUGGGGCUUCCUGUCACACGGUGUGGGCUCGAGCAGGAUUUGUCGGUUGAGCUGCUUGGUUUCAGGGGCUGGAAUGUUUCCAGAACCAAUCAUGAGACUCACCAUCUGA
Non-coding RNA from Vicugna pacos (alpaca), 711 nucleotides. The record is from the annotation of a RefSeq genome assembly. NCBI's taxonomy places the organism in Eukaryota, Metazoa, Chordata, Mammalia, Artiodactyla, Camelidae.